Small nucleolar RNA from Myotis lucifugus (little brown bat), 143 nucleotides. Ensembl annotates it as small nucleolar RNA SNORA79. The record is from Ensembl. Lineage: Eukaryota; Metazoa; Chordata; Mammalia; Chiroptera; Vespertilionidae.
CGAUGACCGUUCCUCCUCCUGCCUGCAGGCCUGGCACUAGGAUUUCAGGUCAUCGUAAAGUAAAAGUGAUUUUCUUCACUCAGAGAAUAUCAGGAUAAUGGGAUUAUCUGUUUGUUCUCUGAAAUUUGCGGAAUCAAACACUA